Loxodonta africana (African savanna elephant) is the source of this 6818-nucleotide long non-coding RNA. RefSeq lists it as uncharacterized. The transcript is spliced from 7 exons. The record is from RefSeq and is a predicted model, not a curated record. Lineage: Eukaryota; Metazoa; Chordata; Mammalia; Proboscidea; Elephantidae.
CUGUGUCCUAGCUUCUUGUUUUAUUUUGAUAUGCCCAAAUAGGCUGUUUGGGUGAGCUAGUUUGAUUAUUGGCACCUUUGAAGCUCUUAAAUCCUGUCACCAGGUGAUCAGAGCUGUUACUAGGUAUGUGAGCCUAGGAGCCCUUUUACUUUUCUUGUAUGGAUUCAGCUCAGGUGUCCAGGUCACCAAGUGUGUGGUGUAGGCUCUCACCUACAGUCCUACAUAGACAGGGUUGAUUGGAGUAGGUACAGGUGUCUGGCUACUGUGGGGGGAAUGACUGCCCUUGAGUGUCUGGGAGGAAAGCAUGUCCCUGUUCCCUAGAGCACAUAGGUGGGUAGGUUUUGCAGCCAGACUGUGGGCACCCAAUGCUGUUGGUUGUAAGUACUGGGAUUCACCACUUAUUCUUGGACUCCUGAAUUGGGUGGCUAGGUGGCAUGGGUGGAGCCACGAACCCUCAAGUCACUGAUGUGGAUAGGUGAGGAUCCUUCUUCAUUGGCAGAACGUUGUCAAAUAUCAGAAAUCUGCCCCUCCACUUUAUAGCUGAUACAGUUAAAAAUAGGCUUCAGGUAUAUACCCUGUUGUAGUGUGCUAAUGAGGGCCUACGCUGUUGAAAUGGGCCCACACAGGUCUAUGCAAGGGUGAAAGGCAUUCAGAGUCCUUGGACCCCUUAUGUCUGUGCCUUCCCUGAGUUCCUGGCUUAGGGAAGCUGGCAGAUUAUUUUUUGUUCUUUGUUCCUGCUCCAGGGCAUGUGAUAGUUCCUACUUCUGGCCCAGGGGACCCAGAAAUAGCCGAAGCCGGUCCAAGACUAAAAACAGAGAGGGACAAGCAGAUACAGACCAGAAGAGGAGUUUGGGGCUUGACACCUGACAUCUUAACACCAGUUCCUGUUUCUUGAGGAAGGAAGAGGUAAAAUAAAUCAGCGUUUUCUGUGUCCUUCUCCAUCCCCGGAAGUCCUCAUGAAGACCCUCUCAGCUUCAACUUGAACGUGAAUAUGAGCAGCUGAUCAUCUGUUCUGCAGUCAGCCCCUGGCCAGAUUCUGACUCAUGAUAUUGACCUUCUCCAUCAUCACCUUCCACAAAUUUGAUUCUUGUCUAUUCUGCCUGGAAUGGUGCACGAGUAUAGUCACCGUUUAUGCUCCUGAUGAAAGAUACAGACCAGAAGAGGAGUUUGGGGCUUGACACCUGACAUCUUAACACCAGUUCCUGUUUCUUGAGGAAGGAAGAGGUAAAAUAAAUCAGCGUUUUCUGUGUCCUUCUCCAUCCCCGGAAGUCCUCAUGAAGACCCUCUCAGCUUCAACUUGAACGUGAAUAUGAGCAGCUGAUCAUCUGUUCUGCAGUCAGCCCCUGGCCAGAUUCUGACUCAUGAUAUUGACCUUCUCCAUCAUCACCUUCCACAAAUUUGAUUCCUGUCUAUUCUGCCUGGAAUGGUGCACGAGUAUAGUCACCGUUUAUGCUCCUGAUGAAAGGCGGGACGCCCCUCCUGUGCUGUCCUCAGAAGGGCUCUUCAGGGACCACACCCCUAGUUUGCGGAGCAGCAGAGCCUGCCCCAGUCUGGACUAGGGACUUUAUUUCUUCCACUCUCACCACUGGCUGAAGGCAGACUCCUGUCUCCACAGACUAAAGAGGAAUUAUCAAAAUGAGCUCGAAACUCUAGAUUUGAGUUAAGGAUCAUAAAUUAACACAGAGAAAUACAACUUUAACAACAAAGACCUGUUUGGAGCCCCAGUUGGAAUUAAAAAAAAAAAAACUUGAACAGAGGGAGUGAUAAAGGCUUCCUUCUUUUGCCAUCCUCUCUCGGUGGUCCCAAGCUUUCUCAUCUCCCACCUCACAAGACUGUAUCAACUGCUUUGAGACUUUUAGAAUAAAGAUCCCCAGGCAUAUCACUGCUGUUACCCUGUGAGGAUUUCCCCAGUGCUGGGUUAGACUAAGACAGAAUCCUCCAGAGGCUUCCGGGGUCUGUGUACUGGAUGGUCAACACACAGAGCCUCAGAGCCCACUUCAUUUUUCCUGCAGUUGGGCAUGACCCCAGGGACAUGACCCUGAGAGUGCUGACACUUCCUGAAGCCAGUGACCCUCCCCCUGGGCUUCUCUCUGCCUGGGUCUCAGAAUCUCUGAGGCCAACUUGUACCCUCGGAAGUGUUUCUGCUGAAGGACACGUAAACAGCACUGUGGGUUUGUGUCCUGCAGUCUGCAAAACUGCCUCCCCUGAGUGGGGUGAGGAGCUACUGGAAUACUGAAACAUUGAAAUCAUUAAAACUAGCAGAAGCCACAGCCCAUGGUGCUGGGAGAAAACUGGGAAGGACGGAGAGGUGAAGAGGCUAUAAAGGCCCAGGUGUGAAGGCGACCAUGGGCCAGGAUGUCCUGAAGUCGCAAAGCUGACCAAUGCUGAGUGCCCUAAAAGCUGCCACUCCUGUGCCCAUCUUUUCUUUCAAUGGACAAAGUCUUUCCCUGCUCUUAUGUGCCUGGGCUGGAAGGGCCUUUGACUUAGAACAUGAAGCAGCCUCCAGAGCCUCUUGGGGCAAGUGAUGGUCAAGGAGGCUCUGCCUAACCCCACCCUGCUCUUCCCACUUGUCAGAGGACCAGGAAUUUCAGUCUUCCAACUCCUGGGCUGAUCUAGUGACUCAUAACAGGAUUUCACUGGAACUGGAAGGUGUUGAAGACAGGAAGUACUCCUGGGUUUCUUCACCCAGCUGAAUGCCUAGUUCCUGGUCUUAUUACACGGCUUACAUUCAGGAUAAGAAGAGGCGUUUGGAGCUUUACGCAUGACCUCUUAGCAGCGGUUUCUGUUCAGGAGUGAAGAGGUAAAAAGAAAGCAGUGUCUACUAAGUCCUUUUCCAAGAGUCUCAGGAAAUUCUCACGAAGACCCUCUCAGAUGCAGGACGAUGAGGAGGGAAUGUUUGUUGUGUCAUAAUCUGUGGAAGGAUGCAAAGUGCACAUGGGGUUCGUUACUCCUGAUGCUCACACUAUUGCAGCCCACCUACUGGGAAAUUACCGUAAGUGUUGCUGAGUCCCUCACACAUCCACACUGAACAGCUUUCGGAUUCUCAUAAGCAGGAGUUAUUUGUGUCCUAAGAUGAGCCACUCCUUGGAAGCCCUACCCUGUCCUAUAGGGUCGCUGUGAGUCGGAAUCAACUGCAUGGCAAGAGUGUUUUUUUUGGAGAGGGGUUGAUAUUAGCUGCAGAAUAAUGUUUAAAAAAAUGCUGACAGAGUAGCAGGUGAAACCAACACAAUGAAACUGAAAUGAAAUCUCUUUUUCACACUUAUCGACCCCACAGUGCCUUCGAAGUGUGUACUUUUCACUGGGUUUAGAGGAAAGAGAGAACUCUUCACGAGAGAGACACAGCUUGGGACACCUCCAAAAUCACACGCCUCCUCCCUGAUGUUAGGUAACAUUCCAUGCUGUUUGGCUGGUUUAUCAUCUGACUGCUCCACACAAAUAGAAGGCCCGUGCAGGCAGGAGCUUCUCUGCUGUGUUGCAAGAGUAUCCUGGUUCCUAGCACCUAAGAAGCACUCAAAACUGAUUUGAGUGAAUGAAUGAGUGGGUGGGUUUUUAUAAAAACCAUGGUACUGCUCUCUUUAUGUAGUUACAAUAGUGAAAACAGGGAUAAGGGAAUGGAGACUAGUACUUGUAUAACUUAAAGUUAUAUAAAAUGAGAACAGAACUUCUAUAAUGAAGAGAGAGACAAAAAUAAAGUGUACUAACUGAAUGUACCCCCUUCACUUUGGUUGGAAAGAGACAUGGUAAAGUUGGGUUGUUUUUCCCCUACUGAUUUAUAAGUUCUAUAUAUUGAAUUGAAAAGUUAGUCUUUUAGGAGUCAGAAAUAUUUCUAUUGAGAGAUAAUUCACCCGCCAUAACAUUGCCCUUUGAAAUGUGCACAAUUCUGUGGUUGUUAGUAUAUGGACAGAGUUGUGCAACAAUCACCACUGUCUAGCUUCACGAUAUUUUCAGUGCCCUGUAAAUAAAUGCCCUACAUAUUAGUAGUCAUCCUCAUUAUUCCUUUCGUCCAAGACGUAGCAACCACUAAUCUACUUUCUGUCUGUGUUGGUUUGUCUGUUCUGGACAUCUCAUAUAAAUGGAGUCACGCACCAUGCGGUCAUUUCUGUUUGGCUUCUUUCACUUAGCAUAACGUUCUCAAAGUUUGUCCAUAUUGUUGCAUGUAUUUUAAUGACUAAUAUUCCAGUCUACGAAUAUACCACAGCUUGUCUAUCAGUUCAUGACAUUUGGAUUCUCUCCAUAUUUUGGGUAUUUAUGAAUAAUGCUGCUAUGAAAAUUCUUUUGUAAGUUGUUAUGUGAACAUGCUUCAGCUCUCCUGGGUACAUACCUAGGAGUGGAAUUGCUAUGCAUGGUAACUCUAUGUUUAACUUUCUGAGCAAGUACUUAACUGUUUUCCAAACUGAUUGGAUCGUGUCACAUGUCCACCAGCAAUGUAUGAGGGUUCCAGUUUCUCCACAUCCUCACCACAUAUGUUGUCCAUCCUAUUGAUUUGAGCCAUCUUAGUGGUUUUGAAAUAAUAGUGCGUUUUGGUUUUGAUUCGCAUUUCCCUAAUGACUAAUGAGGUUGAGCUUCUUUUCAUGUGAUUAUUGACCAUUUCUAUAUCUUCUUUGGAGAAAUGUCUAGUCAAAUCCUUAGCCUGCAAUUUUUUUUUUCAGCUUUUUGCCUGUAUUUUUGCUUUCUUCAUAUAGUUUUUGCUAUGCCAAAGAUCUGUAUCUAUAUCUUACCAGUUUUAGCCUUCACAGCUUUGGGAUUUUUAGAAAAUCUUUCUCUUUUACCAAUAAAAAGCAAAACAAAAUCUCUCAUAGUUUCUUCUGAAAUUUUUAUGGUGGCAUAUUUUACUUUUAAGUAUGUGAUCCUUUUGGAAUUUUUUUUCCUGCAAGCUAUGAGAAAAAGGAUGAAAAUAUUUUUACAGGUGAUCUAAAUGAUUACCAAAUUGCUGCAAACAUUCCUUUUUGCCUUUUUGCAUAAGCCAUAUCUUAACUGCAUUUUCCCAUAUUCCAUAUAGAAAAGCAUUUUUACAGAAGGAGGCCCGCCAUUCCCAGCCAUUUCAUUUUAAGAUUUUGCUUUGCUGCAAUAGAAAUCCCUUCUAUUCCUUUUCUACACACCUGUUGUCAUAGCCAAUAAAAAUUUUGUGUGAGUAGGACUCCUGUGAAUUUAUAAGAUGAGGUUGAAUUUUAUAACUGGUUCCAUGUGGUGCAGCCCAGCAGAAGGACAGACAGAAGCAGUAGCUCCAGAGGGAACAGAAGCUAUAAGCACAUGAGCCUCUAGAGAUUUGCUCUUGAAUUUCAGAGAAAGCUCUAGACUUUUCUAUAUAAACAUAUUAUAUAUGGCCAUCACCUUAGAACAGACAGAGAAUAAUGCUUUGAAUGUGAAGCAUUCAGGACAGAACUGGAGAAAAAUGUAGAACAAUCUUCUAACUCACAAAAAAAACACCAGACUUACUGACUUGACAGGGAUUGGAGAAACCCUGAGUGUAUGGACCCCAGAUAUCCUUUGAGGUCAAUAAUGAAGUCGCUCAUGAGGUUCACCCUUCAGCCAAAGAUUAGACAGGCCCAUAAAACGAAAUGAGGCUCCAGCAGCAUACUAGCCCAGGAACAAGGACUAGAAGGUAGAAGAGGACAGGAAAGCUGGUAAUAGGGAACCUAAGUUGAAGAAGAGAGAGUGUCGACAUGUCAUGGGGUUGGUAACCGUUGUUAUAAAACAAUAUAUGUACUAGCUGUUUAGUAAGAAGCUAGUUUGUUCUGUAAACCUUCAUCUAAAGAAAAAUUUAAAAAGUUAGGCUUUCAGAAUGAGAGUGUUCAUUCCUUAGAAGUAUGUGCUUUGUUGAACAUAUCUACCCAUUUCUAUUGGGUAUGUAUCUAGAAGUAGAAUUGCUGGGUCGUAGGAUACAUGUGUGUUCACAGCUUUAGUAGAUAUGGCCAAAGCAUUUUUAAAGUGGUUGUACCAAAUUACACUUUCACUAGCAGUAAAUUAGAGAUCCCUUUGCUCCAUGCUCUACCUAGUAGUUGGUAUUUUCCAUCUUUUUCAUUUUAGCCAUUCUGGUGUGUGGGGGAUAGUAUCACAUUGUGACAUUUUGUUAAGAGUUUCUCUGAUAACUAAUGAAUGUAUGUUGGCCAUACAGAAAUCUUUUCAAGUAUUUCCUCAUCUAUUGGACUUUUUUUUUGUUUUUGCUUUAUAAACGGUUCUUUAUAUAUUCUAGAACCAAGUCCAUAGUAGGACAUAGGUAUUGCAAAUAACUUCUGCUACCAUACGAAUUCACCCUUGUGGCUUGUCAAGAGCUUUCAGAUUCAGAAACCUGCCUUUUAUAAGAACAGGCAAAUGUAUAGUAACGAAAGUUUAUUAGGGGUUAACGGGGCAGGAGGGAGGAAAUAAAGCAGUGUUAUUGCAUACAGAGCACGGAGUUUCAGUUUAUGGUGGUGGAAAAAUCCCAUUGAUAAGGGUAAGUUUGCACAGCUGAUUAAUGUAAUUGCUGUCAAUAGCUUGUACACCUGUACAACUUGUUCACUUGGCAAAGGUUGUGUGCAAUAUUUACAGCAGCAACAAAAAUGAGCAGCUUCUGAGGCAACAUUAUAGUCUGCAAUUGAUGAGAUGUAUUCUUUUAUUAUACUUUUCUCAGUUUUCUGGUUUGUUAACAUGUGACUGUUAAAAUCAAAGAUAAUAAAGCGUUUGCAUGAUGAAAGUGGUAACAAUGUCUAUUCCACCCAUUGUGUCCCUCUGAAGCUUAAAUGAGGAACUACAUGCCACUAGCAGUCGCCCAGCCUUACUUGGCACUCAGGAAAUAUUUCAUUUCUCCCACUCCUCUGGCUCACGGUCUUCUCCCCUUG